GGAUGUGAGGGUGAUCUGGCUGUGACAUCUGUCACCCCAUUGAUCACCAGGGUUGAUUCGGCUGAUCUGGCUGACUAGGCAGGUGUCACCUUCCUCCCUCACCACUCCAUGUGCAUCCCUCCCAGUCGAAGAGGAUGACCUUCCCCGAUAGACGAGAGGACCGUUCUUCAACCAAAGGCAUACGAGUAGUUGUGCUCCCCUGCUAGAGCCUCCAGACAAGCUCUCAAGGUCCCUUUAUAGGAGAAUGUAAGGCAGUCAAGCUUCCAAGACUCCAGACACAUCCAAGUGAGGUGCUGCAUGUGGCAGUCUGCCUUUCUUU
Molecule: unclassified non-coding RNA, 319 nt
Organism: Mustela putorius furo (domestic ferret)
Lineage: Eukaryota; Metazoa; Chordata; Mammalia; Carnivora; Mustelidae
Gene: 7SK
Rfam family: 7SK RNA
About the family: 7SK was discovered as an abundant small nuclear RNA in the mid-70s but a possible function has only recently been suggested.
Source: Ensembl